GGUUCUUCCGGACCGUGGUGAACUGCCGGAGCCAAUACGGGCGGCAGGAGAGGAAGCCGGUGCGAUUCCGGCGCGGUCCCGCCACUGUCACCGGGGUGAACCACCCCGGGAGCCAGGAACUCUCGCCGCCGGUCUCGUCGAA
Molecule: non-coding RNA, 142 nt
Filed under: Streptomyces sp.
Lineage: Bacteria; Bacillati; Actinomycetota; Actinomycetes; Kitasatosporales; Streptomycetaceae
Source: RNAcentral